RNAcentral lists this unclassified non-coding RNA (335 nucleotides) under Hevea brasiliensis (rubber tree). The record is from RNAcentral. Lineage: Eukaryota; Viridiplantae; Streptophyta; Magnoliopsida; Malpighiales; Euphorbiaceae.
AGAGAGAGAGAGAGAGCCAUGUGUGGAAUACUCGCAGUCUUUGGUUGCAUAGACAACUCACAAGCUAAACGCUCCCGCAUCAUCGAAUUGUCUCGAAGGUUAAGGCAUAGAGGUCCUGAUUGGAGUGGCUUGCAUUGUCAUGAAGACUGUUAUCUUGCUCAUCAAAGAUUGGCUAUUGUAGACCCUACUUCUGGAGAUCAGCCACUUUACAAUGAGGACAAGACUGUCGUUGUCACGGUUAAUGGAGAGAUAUAUAACCAUAAGCAAUUGCGGGAAAAAUUGAAGUCUCAUCAGUUCCGAACUGGUAGUGACUGUGAAGUGAUUGCCCAUCUUUA